AUGGCGCUGCUCGCAAAGCGUUUUUGGUGUUGGGCGUCAGCAGCGGCUGCUUUCGAAAAACGCCAGCACUCAGCGAUUCCAAUCCCGUCUUUAGUCACUGUUAGCAGCUCAGGUCUGCAAUGGAGGUCACAUCAACUCGGCGCCUUGGGAACCCCUCCAGCCUACAAGGCUCUCCAGGCAUGGCCACUGAUAGAAAAGAGGACAUGUUGGCAUGGUCAUGCAGGAGGAGGACUCCACACAGACCCAAAAGAAUGAUUAAAAGAUGUUGAUACUCAGAAAAUCAUAAAAGCAAUGGUUUCUUAUGUGUAGCCCAAAGACAGGCCAGAUUUACGAGCUAGAAUUGCCAUUUCUCUGAGAUUUUGGGGUGGUGCAAAGGCCAUGAACUUUGUGGUUCCCUUCACGUGUAAAUAUGCUGUAGACAGCCUCAACCAGAUGUUGGGAAACUUGCUGAACCUGAGUGAUGCACCAAAUACAGUUGCAACCAUGGCAACAGCAGUUCUGAUUGGCUGUGGUGUAUCAAGAGCCGGAGCUGCUGUUUUUAAUGAAGAUCGAAAUGCAAUAUUUGGCAAGUUAGCCCAAAAUUCAAUCCGAAGAAUAGCCAAAAAUGUCUUUCUCCGUCUUCACAACCUGGAUCUGGGUUUUCACCUGAGCAGACAGACUGGAGCUUUAUCUAAGGCUAUUGACAGAGGAACAAGGGGUAUCAGUUUUGUCCUGAGUACUUUGGUGUACCUGAGUACUUUCUUCCUAUUAUGUUUGAAGUGAUGCUUGUCAGUGGUGUUUUUUAUUACAAAUACAGUGCCCAGUUUGCUUUGGUAACCCUCGGAACACUUGGUACACACACAGCAUUCACAGUUGCAGUCACACAAUGGAGAACUAGAUUUAGAAUAGAAAUGAACAAAGCAGAUAAUGAUGCAGGUAAUGCUGCUAUAGGCUCACUGCUGAAUUAUGAAACUGUGAAGUAUUUUAAUAAUGAAAGAUAUGAAGCACAGAGAUAUGAUGGAUUUUUGAAGAUGUAUGAGACUGCUUCAUUGAAAAGUACCUCUACUCUGGCUAUGCUGAACUUUGGUCAAAGUGCUAUUUUCAGCGUCGGUUUAACAGCUAUAAUGAUCUUCACUAGUCAGGAAAUUGUGGAAGGUACCCUUACUGUUGGAAAUCUAGUAAUGGUGAAUGGACUGCUUUUUCAGCUUUCAUUACCCCUGAACUUUCUGGAAACUGUAUACAGAGAGACUAGACAAGCACUCAUAGAUAUGAACACCUUGUUUACUAUACUCAAGGUAGACACCCGAAUUAAAGACAAAGUGAUGGCAUCUCCCCUUCAGAUCACACCACAG
RNA transcript from Mandrillus leucophaeus (drill), 1331 nucleotides. It is a transcript of the gene named ATP-binding cassette sub-family B member 7, mitochondrial-like, with no coding region annotated. The record is from RefSeq and is a predicted model, not a curated record. Lineage: Eukaryota; Metazoa; Chordata; Mammalia; Primates; Cercopithecidae. The transcript has 2 exons.